UACAGAGGUCUCAAGCGUUGUUCGGAUUCAUUGGGCGUAAAGGGUGCGUAGGCGGCGCGGUAAGUCGGGUGUGAAAGUCCAGGGCUCAACCCUGGGAUGCCGGUGGAUACUGUCGGGCUCGAGUCCGGAAGAGGAGUGUGGAAUUCCUGGUGUAGCGGUGAAAUGCGCAGAUAUCAGGAGGAACACCAAUGGCGAAGGCAGCACUCUGGGACGUGACUGACGCUGAGACGCGAAAGCGUGGGGAGCAAACAGG
This 253-nucleotide ribosomal RNA is filed under the name uncultured bacterium. RNAcentral describes it as "partial 16S ribosomal RNA". It matches the Rfam family "Bacterial small subunit ribosomal RNA", at positions 524 to 776 of the family's 1533-position model. The record is from RNAcentral.